This is a non-coding RNA of Aphanomyces cochlioides, 87 nucleotides long. NCBI's taxonomy places the organism in Eukaryota, Oomycota, Saprolegniomycetes, Saprolegniales, Verrucalvaceae. The record is from the annotation of a GenBank genome assembly.
UGGGGGGUGUAGCGCAGUGGUAGCGCGUCCGCUUUGCAUGCGGACUUUCGUUUUUGCUUUGUAGGUUAAACUACCACAGCCCCCCAA